This is a non-coding RNA of Heterocephalus glaber (naked mole-rat), 469 nucleotides long. Lineage: Eukaryota; Metazoa; Chordata; Mammalia; Rodentia; Bathyergidae. The record is from the annotation of a RefSeq genome assembly.
GAUCUGCAUCAGGCAGGACCCAGAGUGAACCAUGGAAGCUCCAGCAUGGCUCCUUCUCCUCCUGUUACUCUGGCUUCCAGGUACCACUGGAGAAAUUGUGAUGACACAGACUCCAGCCACCUUGUCUUUGUCUCCAGGAGAAGAAGCCACCCUCACCUGCAAGGCCAGUCAGGGUAUUAGCAGCUACCUAGCCUGGUACCAGCAGAAACCUGGGCAGGCUCCUAGGCGCCUCAUCUAUGGUGCUUCCAGCAGAGCCACUGGUGUUCCAACCCGGUUCACUGGCAGUGGGUCAGGGACAGACUUUACAUUGAGAAUCAGCAGCCUGGAGCCGGAAGAUGUUGCAAUUUAUUAUUGUCAACAAGGUUACAGUGGGUUCCACUGUGAUUCAGUCCCCAACAAAAACCUCACCAGUCACAUCUGCCUUCACACUCCUCCUCCCCUGGGGUAUAAUUGCUUCCUCCAUAACUAA